UACACACCGCCCGUCACACCAUGGGAGUUGGCUUUACCCGAAGGCGGUGCGCUAACCAGCAAUGGAGGCAGCCGACCACGGUAGGGUCAGCGACCGGGGUG
Molecule: ribosomal RNA, 101 nt
Filed under: uncultured bacterium
Lineage: Bacteria
Description: partial 16S ribosomal RNA
Rfam family: Bacterial small subunit ribosomal RNA
Source: RNAcentral